Molecule: ribosomal RNA, 1480 nt
Filed under: uncultured Bordetella sp.
Lineage: Bacteria; Pseudomonadati; Pseudomonadota; Betaproteobacteria; Burkholderiales; Alcaligenaceae
Description: partial 16S-23S ribosomal RNA intergenic spacer
Rfam family: Bacterial small subunit ribosomal RNA
Source: RNAcentral
GGUUCGAUCAUGGCUCAGAUUGAACGCUGGCGGGAUGCUACACAUGCAAGUCGAACGGCAGCACAGCUUCGGUCUGGUGGCAGUGGCGAACGGGUGAGUAAUGUAUCGGAACGUGCCUAGUAGCGGGGAUAACUACGCGAAAGAAGAAGAAAGCGUAGCUAAUGCCGCAUACGCCCUUCGACAGGACCUUCGGGCCUCGCACUAUUAGAACGUGAUAUCGGAUUAGCUGGUUGGUGGGAGUAACAGCUCUGCAAGGCUGACGAUCCGUAGCUGGUUUUGAGAGGACGACCAGCCACUGGGACGAGACACGGCCCAGACUCCUACGGGAGAGGCAGCAGUGGGGAAUUUUGGACAAUAUGGGGAAACCCUGAUCCAGCCAUCCCGCGUGUGCGAUGAAGGCCUUUCGGGUUGUAAACACUUUUGGCAGGAAAGAAACAGCACGGGAUAAUACCCCGUGCAACUGACAGUACCUGCAGAAUAAGCACCGGCUAACUGCAGUGCCGGCGGCGGUAAUACGUAGGAGUGCAAGCGUUAAUCGGAAUUACUGGGCGUAAAGCGUGCGCAGGCGGUUCGGAAAAGAAAGAUGUGAAAUCCCAGAGCUUAACUUUGGAACUGCAUUUUUAACUACCGAGCUAGAAGUGUGUCAGAGGAGGUGGAAUUCCGUGUGUAGCAGUGAAAUGCGUAGAUAGCUGCGGAGGAACACCGAUGGCGAAGCAUGGCCUCUGGGAUAACACUGACGCUCAUGCACGAAAGCGUGGGGAGCAAACGGGAUUCGAAUACCUGGUAGUCCACGCCUAAACGAUGUCAACUAGCUGUUGGGGCCUUCGGGCCUUGGUAGCGCAACUAACGCGUGAAGUUGACCGCCUGGGGAGUACGGUCACAAGAUUAAAACUCAAAGGAAUUGACGGGGACCCGCACAAGCAGUGGAUGAUGUGGAUUAAUUCGAUGCAACGCGAAAAACCUUACCUACCUUGACAUGUCUGGAAUCCGAAGAGAUUUGGGGAGUGCUCGCAAGAGAACCAGGUCUUGCAGGUGCUGCAUGGCUGUCGUCAGCUCGUGUCGUGAGAUGGGUUAAGUCCCGCAACGAGCGCAACCCUUGUCAUUAGUUGCUACGAAGGGCACUCUAAUGAGACUGCCGGUGACAAACCGGAGGAAAGGUGGGGAUGACGUCAGAGAUCCUCAUGGCCCUUAUGGGUAAGGGCUUCACGUCAUACAAUGGUCCGGGACAGAGGGUCGCCAACCGCGAGGGGAGCCAAUCCCAGAAGCGAUCGUAGUCCGGAUCGCAGUCUGCAACUCGACUGCGUGAAGUCGGAAUCAUAGUAAUCGCGGAUCAGCAUGUGCGGUGAAUACGUUCCCCGGAGUCUUGUACACACCGCCCGUCACACCAUGGGAGUGGGUUUUACAGAAAUGAUUAGCCUAACCGUAAGGAGGCGAUUACCACGGUAGGAUUCAUGACUGGGGUGAAGUCGUAACAAGGUAG